Sphaeramia orbicularis (orbiculate cardinalfish) is the source of this 527-nucleotide long non-coding RNA. RefSeq lists it as uncharacterized. The record is from RefSeq and is a predicted model, not a curated record. The transcript has 2 exons. NCBI's taxonomy places the organism in Eukaryota, Metazoa, Chordata, Actinopteri, Kurtiformes, Apogonidae.
UUGAGUGCCACGUUUAUCAUUUUAUUACAUGAUUUAACAAGUUGAAUCAAAUGUUUUCAGCUCUGGUUUUUCUUAUGUUUCUUUUCUGUUGCUGAACAUGUGGAAGAUGCUCUCUUAGCCUCAGAAACCUUUACAAGAGCUAAACUGAAAAAGAAAAAUAUUUACAGUAUGAUUCUGUAGAUAAUGUCUGAGGGUGCAUUAUGUGUUUAACCCACUGAGACAUAAGCAUUGCUUGAAAAUAGACUGCUAAAAUCUGAGCAUUUUUUUAAAGAUAAAAAAUAUCUAAAUGUUACUUGGUCUUAAAGGUAAAAACGUCAACCUUGAUUUUUAAAGUAAAAGCAUAUAAACAUGUCACUUGGAUUUUAUACAUAAAAACACACAAACUUCCUUGGGUUUUAUGUAAAAACAUGGUAACUUUGCUCUGGAUUUGAGGUAAAGAUGAGCAAACAUCCUACUCACUAUUACAACCAAAAAUGCACAAACAUUACACUAAUUUUUAAUGAUAGAACACACAAGUAUCACAUGCU